UACGUAGGGAGCGAGCGUUGUCCGGAUUCAUUGGGCGUAAGGAGCUCGUAGGCGGCUUGGUAAGUCGGAUGUGAAACCUCCAGGCUCAACCUGGAGUCGCCAUCCGAUACUGCCAUGGCUAGAGUCCGGUAGGGGCCCACGGAAUUCCUGGUGUAGCGGUGAAAUGCGUAGAUAUCUGGAGGAACACCGGUGGCGAAGGCGGCAUCCUGGACCGACACUGACGCUGAGGAGCGAAAGCCAGGGGAGCAAACGGG
Molecule: ribosomal RNA, 254 nt
Filed under: uncultured bacterium
Lineage: Bacteria
Description: partial 16S ribosomal RNA
Rfam family: Bacterial small subunit ribosomal RNA
Source: RNAcentral